RNAcentral lists this long non-coding RNA (517 nucleotides) under Nicotiana tabacum (common tobacco). RNAcentral describes it as "long non-coding RNA (NTAB_LNC010479)". Lineage: Eukaryota; Viridiplantae; Streptophyta; Magnoliopsida; Solanales; Solanaceae. The record is from RNAcentral.
AUUUCCUUCGAUGUGUCCCAAGUACAACGCACUCUUUUGGCAGUACUCUUGUUGCAAUGUAUGUACCUUUCCAAUCUGGACCCAAUUUUCUUUCAGCUUUUCCAACUCUUUGUUUUAUUUUCUUAAACGUGUCUUCAUUGCGAUCUAAUCCUUGAUUCAUUAUUUCGAGGUCUGACAGCUUUCAAGAUCCGGGCAUGAAGUCUGUAAGCAUGUCGUGUUAUUGAAAUCUGCAUUUAAGAGAAUUGAAAAGAGAAUAAGAAAGAAAAAUGACAAGAUUAAGAGAAGAGACAUUCCUAGACAGUGAAAUAUUAAUUUCAUUUUUUUCUUGAUUUUGAUUAAAUUUUUUUUGAAUUUUUUGAAGAUAGAAGGGUUUAUACAAGAAAGUAAGACAAUAAAGUAAAACAUCUGGAUCACACCCUGAGAUAAUCUGGAUGCAGAAAGGAUAGCAAGACUGACUACCGAGACUCCCGUCUGAUGGGGAACUUUCAUGUUUGGCAACCAUUUUAUGGCUUUUCUU